UAUAAUAAAGACUUUUUCGCUCGCCUCCCCCCGCACUUCUCCUUUUUCGCGCCAUACCUUUCUCGUGGCAUCUCCCUCGGCAUCUCCCUCUUCUCUUCAAAACACCGUUUAUUCGAUUCUUAACGGUUUUUUGUAACACCGUUGAAACGCUCUCCCCCCACCCCCCACAAAACCCCCUAAAAAAAAAUUAAAUAAAUAAAGACCUAUACUAACUCAAUUUUGCGACUCGCUUAUUAGGAUAUGUUUGUCUCGGCAUAAUUGAAGGAGAUCAUAACAAUAUACAUAUUCUAAAUGAACCUAUACUAACUCAAUUUUGCGACUCGCUUAU
RNAcentral lists this long non-coding RNA (328 nucleotides) under Ananas comosus (pineapple). RNAcentral describes it as "long non-coding RNA (ACOM_LNC001341)". Lineage: Eukaryota; Viridiplantae; Streptophyta; Magnoliopsida; Poales; Bromeliaceae. The record is from RNAcentral.